UUAUAAUGUCUACUCCAG
RNAcentral lists this unclassified non-coding RNA (18 nucleotides) under Mus musculus (house mouse). RNAcentral's name for it is "oocyte_clustered_small_RNA7579". The record is from RNAcentral. Lineage: Eukaryota; Metazoa; Chordata; Mammalia; Rodentia; Muridae.